GGGCAUUUAGCUCAGCGGUAGAGCGCUUCGUUCACAUCGAAGAGGCGACAGGUUCGACACCUGUAAUGCCCACAA
RNAcentral lists this transfer RNA (75 nucleotides) under Candidatus Wildermuthbacteria bacterium RIFCSPHIGHO2_02_FULL_47_12. RNAcentral's name for it is "tRNA-Val". It matches the Rfam family "tRNA". Rfam says of the family: Transfer RNA (tRNA) molecules are approximately 80 nucleotides in length. Their secondary structure includes four short double-helical elements and three loops (D, anti-codon, and T loops). Further hydrogen bonds mediate the characteristic L-shaped molecular structure. tRNAs have two regions of fundamental functional importance: the anti-codon, which is responsible for specific mRNA codon recognition, and the 3' end, to which the tRNAs corresponding amino acid is attached (by aminoacyl-tRNA synthetases). tRNAs cope with the degeneracy of the genetic code in two manners: having more than one tRNA (with a specific anti-codon) for a particular amino acid; and 'wobble' base-pairing, i.e. permitting non-standard base-pairing at the 3rd anti-codon position. Lineage: Bacteria; Candidatus Wildermuthiibacteriota. The record is from RNAcentral.